UGUGGGAGCGGGCUUGCUCGCGAUACCGGCGGCGCGGUGUUCCAGUUAAACCGCGUCGAUGCCAUCGCGAGCAAGCCCGCUCCCACA
This 87-nucleotide unclassified non-coding RNA is filed under the name Pseudomonas fragi. The record is from RNAcentral. Lineage: Bacteria; Pseudomonadati; Pseudomonadota; Gammaproteobacteria; Pseudomonadales; Pseudomonadaceae.